GCCCACAUGAAGUUGGAGUUGCUAGUAAUCGCGGAUCAGCAUGCCGCGGUGAAUACGUUCCCGGGCCUUGUACACACCGCCCGUCACACCAUGGGAGUUGGGAGCGCCCGAAGCCGGUGAGGUAACCGAGAGGAGCCAGCCGUCGAAGGUGAGACCAAUGACUGGGGUGAAGUCGUAACAAGGUAUC
This 187-nucleotide ribosomal RNA is filed under the name uncultured bacterium. Its description in RNAcentral is "partial 16S ribosomal RNA". It matches the Rfam family "Bacterial small subunit ribosomal RNA", at positions 1314 to 1500 of the family's 1533-position model. The record is from RNAcentral.